Molecule: ribosomal RNA, 578 nt
Filed under: uncultured bacterium
Lineage: Bacteria
Description: bacterial SSU rRNA
Rfam family: Bacterial small subunit ribosomal RNA
Source: RNAcentral
UACGGGAGGCAGCAGUGAGGAAUAUUGGUCAAUGGACGCGAGUCUGAACCAGCCAAGUAGCGUGAAGGAUGACUGCCCUAUGGGUUGUAAACUUCUUUUAUAUGGGAAUAAAGUGGUCCACGUGUGGAUUUUUGUAUGUACCAUAUGAAUAAGGAUCGGCUAACUCCGUGCCAGCAGCCGCGGUAAUACGGAGGAUCCGAGCGUUAUCCGGAUUUAUUGGGUUUAAAGGGAGCGUAGGCGGAUUGUUAAGUCAGUUGUGAAAGUUUGCGGCUCAACCGUAAAAUUGCAGUUGAUACUGGCAGUCUUGAGUGCAGUAGAGGNGGGCGGAAUUCGUGGUGUAGCGGUGAAAUGCUUAGAUAUCACGAAGAACUCCGAUUGCGAAGGCAGCUCACUGGANUGNAACUGACGCUGAUGCUCGAAAGUGUGGGUAUCAAACAGGAUUAGAUACCCUGGUAGUCCACACAGUAAACGAUGAAUACUCGCUGUUUGCGAUAUACAGNAAGCGGCCAAGCGAAAGCAUUAAGUAUUCCACCUGGGGAGUACGCCGGCAACGGUGAAACUCAAAGGAAAUUGACGGA